RNAcentral lists this transfer RNA (70 nucleotides) under Lophiodes caulinaris (spottedtail angler). RNAcentral describes it as "tRNA-Pro". It matches the Rfam family "tRNA". Rfam says of the family: Transfer RNA (tRNA) molecules are approximately 80 nucleotides in length. Their secondary structure includes four short double-helical elements and three loops (D, anti-codon, and T loops). The record is from RNAcentral. Lineage: Eukaryota; Metazoa; Chordata; Actinopteri; Lophiiformes; Lophiidae.
CAAGGGGUAGUUUAAAGUAGAAUGCUAGCUUUGGGAGCUGGUGGUAGGGGUUAAAGCCCCUUCCCCUUGA